RNAcentral lists this long non-coding RNA (929 nucleotides) under Medicago truncatula (barrel medic). RNAcentral's name for it is "lncRNA gene49638". Lineage: Eukaryota; Viridiplantae; Streptophyta; Magnoliopsida; Fabales; Fabaceae. The record is from RNAcentral.
UAGAACUGCCAUCCGAGGUCGUAUGACCAAACCAAAACCACCAUUAAAUUCCUCUCUUCUUCCUCUUCAAAAAUCACCCAUUCAUUUUCUAGAUCUGUGAAAUUUCAAAAACCCCAAUCAUCACCUUCUCUCUUGUUUUCCGGCCACUGCGAGCUACAAUCGGAAAAACUAAAUUCAUCAUCUUCUUCCUCUUGAAAUCCUCAACAAAACUCGUAAAUUUAUUUUGCGACCUAAGUAGCUUAGUUUAUGACCACCGCACCGGAGUGCGCGACCACUGCACCGGAAAAGUGAUUCACAAUUAUUUACUUCUCUUCUCUUCUUCUUGGUCUCAUCUCUUCAACUAAUCUGGAAAGUCGGUUAUUUGUUUCUGCUUGUGUGCUCAUCUAGGUGCUUUGGAUAUUGGUGUUUGGAUCCAUCGAUGUUUGAAUCGAAUAAAGCUAGUAACGUUGACUGUUCGUUUGAGGACUAGUUUUACGCUAAAUGUGGGAAUUUGAAAUUGGCGAAAAGAUUAUUCGAUUCGAUUCUGAGUGCAUGUUGUAAUCAUGGAGAAAUCAAUUAGCUGAACUUGCUGCUGAAAAAGUGUUGCAGUUAGAUAAUCACAUUCACAGUGGAGUUUAUGUUUUGUUUUCUAAUUUGUAUGCAGUAUCUGGGAAACAUAGUGAUGCUAGUUUUAUUGCUUGUUGGGUCUGUUAGUGCCAAUGUGUUGCUAUGAAAUAAAAAGAUGUGAAUGAGAAUGGUGCCAAUGUUGUUGGAUCUGAAUUGAUAAUGGUGGAAGAAUUAAAAAGAUGUGAAUGAUUUUAGAUUUUAGAUUUUCUGGGUUUUUAUUUUUUAUUUUUUUAUGAAUGUUCUUGAAGAUUGUAUGAAGAUGUUGGGGGAAGAAGAUGAAGAAAUGGAAAAAUGAUUAGGUAUCGUUUCUUUUUUUUUUCUUU